This 467-nucleotide ribosomal RNA is filed under the name uncultured bacterium. RNAcentral describes it as "partial 16S ribosomal RNA". It matches the Rfam family "Bacterial small subunit ribosomal RNA", at positions 28 to 507 of the family's 1533-position model. The record is from RNAcentral.
GACGAACGCUGGCGGCGUGCUUAACACAUGCAAGUCGAACGGAAAGGCUCCAGCUUGCUGGAGUGCUCGAGUGGCGAACGGGUGAGUAACACGUGGGCAAUCUGCCCUGCACUCUGGGAUAAGCCUGGGAAACUGGGUCUAAUACCGGAUAGGACCUUUCUCCUCAUGGGGUUUGGUGGAAAGUUUUUCGGUGCAGGAUGAGCCCGCGGCCUAUCAGCUUGUUGGUGGGGUAAUGGCCUACCAAGGCGACGACGGGUAGCCGGCCUGAGAGGGUGAUCGGCCACAUUGGGACUGACAUACGGCCCAGACUCCUACGGGAGGCAGCAGUGGGGAAUAUUGCACAAUGGGCGAAAGCCUGAUGCAGCGACGCCGCGUGAGGGAUGACGGCCUUCGGGUUGUAAACCUCUUUCAGUAGGGACGAAGCGCAAGUGACGGUACCUGCAGAAGAAGCACCGGCUAACUACGUG